UACAGAGGGUGCAAGCGUUAUUCGGAUUUACUGGGCGUAAAGCGUGCGCAGGCGGUUAUGUAAGACAGAUGUGAAAUCCCCGGGCUCAACCUGGGAACUGCAUUAGUGACUGCAUAGCUGGAGUACGGCAGAGGGGGAUGGAAUUCCGCGUGUAGCAGUGAAAUGCGUAGAUAUUCGGAGGAACACCGAUGGCGAAGGCAAUCCCCUGGGCCUGUACUGACGCUCAUGCACGAAAGCGUGGGGAGCAAACAGGAUUAGAUA
This 261-nucleotide ribosomal RNA is filed under the name uncultured Acidovorax sp. RNAcentral describes it as "partial 16S ribosomal RNA". It matches the Rfam family "Bacterial small subunit ribosomal RNA", at positions 524 to 784 of the family's 1533-position model. Lineage: Bacteria; Pseudomonadati; Pseudomonadota; Betaproteobacteria; Burkholderiales; Comamonadaceae. The record is from RNAcentral.